This 310-nucleotide ribosomal RNA is filed under the name Sundanonchus behuri. RNAcentral's name for it is "eukaryotic LSU rRNA". It matches the Rfam family "Eukaryotic large subunit ribosomal RNA", at positions 111 to 384 of the family's 3401-position model. The record is from RNAcentral. Lineage: Eukaryota; Metazoa; Platyhelminthes; Monogenea; Dactylogyridea; Sundanonchidae.
AGCACCGAAGCCCAUUGUCAAAAGGCAGCAAGGCAAUGUGGUGUUUAGGCGAGUACCUGGGGUUGCUGAGUUACUCUAAGUCCAUCUAUGAUUCGUGGCACCAACUUGGUCCUUAGCGGGUGGAAGACCCUUACGAGAAUACGAUUAGUCGGUUUGUUAAAGCAGCCUCUAGAUGUGCCCGUCUUGGAGUCGGAUUGCUUGAGAAUGCAGUCCAAAGUGGGUGGUAAACUCCAUCCAAGGCUAAAUACCUGCACGAGUCCGAUAGCAAACAAGUACCGUGAGGGAAAGUUGAAUUUUUUUUCUGAAGAGA